GGGGUCAUGGGUCCGAGUGGGGGGUCAUGGGUCCGGUUCUUUCUGGGUGCAGGUGGGGGUAAGAGGUGUUGUUGGGAGGGUUGGCCUGGGUCUGGAGAGGUCUGACUGCUGAGGUUGGGUUGGGAGGUCUCUUGGUUGGUUGGCUGGACUGUUUGGGUAGUUGUUUGUUGACUAGGCAGGAAGGUUGGCUGGGUUUGACCUGGCUUAGGCUCGCCGCAGAAGUGGCUCUGGUGGGGGAGAAUGCAGCGGGGAGUAGGGGGAGAGCAGGGGGCUCAGAGGGACUAGCUCUGGGGGAGGCUUUGGAGGAACGGCUGGAGCUACGAUUAUGUCUCUUAGAGCUGGUGUGACAGCGUGAGUGGUCAGAAUGUCUGUUAGUGUGUUUGCGGUCACUGUGUUUGCGAGUGUGUGUGCGGUUUCUGUGUGUGCGUUCACUGUGUGUGCGAGUAGGUUUAGCCUUUUCAGUAUGUUUCUGAGACUCAUUCUUGUCCGAAUGUUUGUCAGUGAGCUUCUGGCUAUUGGACAGUGUGUGUGUGGGUUUGCACAGUGUGUGAGUGGCUUUCUUGCUAGAGGACUCUUUGGCAACAGUCAGGCUGUCGGCAGGGAUACCGGAGGGCUUGGUGGCAGAAUGGGGAAUGAGUUUGGGUCUAGUAUAUUCUGGGGCUGUUGAACUGGGUUUGGGGUGUGUGCGUGAAGGUUUAAGUUUAGUUUGAGAGUCAGAGUGUGUGUAUGUGAGUUUCGGCUUAGUGUUGGAUUGUGUGGGUGAGGGUGUGAUGAUGUGUGUCUGGUUGACAGUGUGUGUUUCAGAAGACUUGAUGACUUCAGGAGAUGAUAGACAGAUGACAGGGGCAGUGUGACCCUCAGGGGGGCUGGACACCUUUCUCUUCUUCACCUGCUGCUGACCCCUCACCUCUGACCCCUCAACGUUAGAACAACGUUUUCC
Long non-coding RNA from Oncorhynchus tshawytscha (Chinook salmon), 940 nucleotides. The record is from Ensembl. NCBI's taxonomy places the organism in Eukaryota, Metazoa, Chordata, Actinopteri, Salmoniformes, Salmonidae.